UUAAAGGACAUUGUGAGGAACAGGAAAAUCAAUUCUGUAAAAGAAAUAUAAAUCAUUUUAAAGCUUUAAUAUUAGUUCAUUCCACCAAAUAUCUUCAUCUCUCAGCGUUAAAACAUUCAGAAUCAUUGUUCCAUCA
Long non-coding RNA from Sander lucioperca (pikeperch), 136 nucleotides. RefSeq lists it as uncharacterized. NCBI's taxonomy places the organism in Eukaryota, Metazoa, Chordata, Actinopteri, Perciformes, Percidae. The transcript is spliced from 3 exons. The record is from RefSeq and is a predicted model, not a curated record.